This 197-nucleotide ribosomal RNA is filed under the name uncultured bacterium. RNAcentral describes it as "partial 16S ribosomal RNA". It matches the Rfam family "Bacterial small subunit ribosomal RNA", at positions 1288 to 1500 of the family's 1533-position model. The record is from RNAcentral.
UAGUUCGGAUUGUAGGCUGAAACUCGCCUACAUGAAGCUGGAAUUGCUAGUAAUCACAGGUCAGCAUACUGUGGUGAAUACGUUCCCGGGCCUUGUACACACCGCCCGUCACACCAUGAGAGUUGAGAAUACCCGAAGCCCAUGUCAAAGUGGUCGAAGGUAGGCUUGAUGAUUGGGUGAAGUCGUAACAAGGUACC